GACGAACGCUGGCGGCGUGCUUAACACAUGCAAGUCGAACGGAAAGGCCCUGCUUGCGGGGUGCUCGAGUGGCGAACGGGUGAGUAACACGUGGGUGAUCUGCCCCUUACUUUGGGAUAAGCCUGGGAAACUGGGUCUAAUACUGGAUAGGACCAUGCUGUAGGUGGUGUGGUGGAAAGAUUAGUUUCGGUAAGGGAUGAGCUCGCGGCCUAUCAGCUUGUUGGUGGGGUAAUGGCCUACCAAGGCGUCGACGGGUAGCCGGCCUGAGAGGGUGGACGGCCACAUUGGGACUGAGAUACGGCCCAGAAUCCUACGGGAGGCAGCAGUGGGGAAUAUUGCACAAUGGGCGCAAGCCUGAUGCAGCGACGCCGCGUGGGGGAUGACGGCCUUCGGGUUGUAAACUCCUUUCAGCCAUGACGAAGCCCUUGUGGUGACGGUAGUGGUAGAAGAAGCACCGGCUAACUACGUG
Molecule: ribosomal RNA, 469 nt
Filed under: uncultured bacterium
Lineage: Bacteria
Description: partial 16S ribosomal RNA
Rfam family: Bacterial small subunit ribosomal RNA
Source: RNAcentral